CCACAACAUUCUCUAAUCUUAGAAUCUCUUGUAAGAAAUUCCCAGUCUUUGUAACAGGACAAAUUGCUUUUCGUAUCUCUGAAACUCUGGAAUUAUCUGACUGGGAAGAAGAUGAGAAGAUGAUUAAGUCCUCAGAAGAACACAAUAUGGGAAGAUAGGCUGCCUACUCUGAUGGAAAGUAAACCAUGAAAAGAGAGGGUUAACUAGAGGAACAGAACUAUUGUUCAACAAGGUAUGGCCUGGCCUGGACUGGACUCAAAGACAACCCAAAACUUAUACUUGUAUGCCAGACCAUUAAAGAUAUGCAAAAUCGAGUGUCUAAUCCAAAGCUGAGCCCUUGGAUUUUUGAAGGAACUUGUACCUCCUGCAUAUGCCAUUAUGAGCCAUUUAACAAGAAGACUGCUGGGUGUGAGGAAGGCCCAAAACAACAGAAGGCUCGGAAACAAGUACGGGCUGCUGUGAAAGCUG
Phyllostomus hastatus (greater spear-nosed bat) is the source of this 468-nucleotide long non-coding RNA. RefSeq lists it as uncharacterized. The record is from RefSeq and is a predicted model, not a curated record. Lineage: Eukaryota; Metazoa; Chordata; Mammalia; Chiroptera; Phyllostomidae. The transcript is spliced from 3 exons.